Long non-coding RNA from Dama dama (fallow deer), 554 nucleotides. RefSeq lists it as uncharacterized. The transcript has 3 exons. The record is from RefSeq and is a predicted model, not a curated record. NCBI's taxonomy places the organism in Eukaryota, Metazoa, Chordata, Mammalia, Artiodactyla, Cervidae.
GUGACAGAAACGUGCGCCUAUCUUGUUAGCUUUAGAAUCUGCCCGUAUUGACUGGCGUAGAAAGUUUUCCAGAAAACAUUUCCUUUCUGAGGAGGCAGCCAGGUGUGAGUGAGCUCAGGUGGCAGUGGGUGCUUUGAAUUUGGCUUCCUCAAACAGCAAGUAAGUUUCCAGAAUGGGCAACAAGAUGUAAGGGAAACGAAAGUCGCUUCUGUUCAAAAUUACUUUGCCUGAAACUGCCAAUUUAAGGUAAUGAAGUAGUUUCCGGAAAGAAACUAAAGGAAGAGACUCGGGGAGAAAAAUCUGGAGGAAAGUCAAGCCUACAGGAAUGAGAAAGAAAAAUGUGAAGUCUGUGCAGACUAUUAUUUGUGGCAUGAAUCCUUAUUUCUGAGAGAGGGCAGCCUCCUGCAUUGCAGGUGGAUUCUUUACCAACUGUGCCACCAGGGAAGGCCCACAAGAACCCUAUAAGGUAGGUAUAAUUAUUGCUGUCAUUUUACAAAUUAGAAAACUGAAGCUGAAAGAAUUCAAGUAAUUUACCCAAGAAUUCUAUAGCAGUC